This 238-nucleotide ribosomal RNA is filed under the name Coccopigya hispida. Its description in RNAcentral is "partial 28S ribosomal RNA". It matches the Rfam family "Eukaryotic large subunit ribosomal RNA", at positions 875 to 1106 of the family's 3401-position model. The record is from RNAcentral. Lineage: Eukaryota; Metazoa; Mollusca; Gastropoda; Cocculinidae.
CCGCAGCGGUUCUGACGUGCAAAUCGAUCGUCAAACCUGGGUAUAGGGGCGAAAGACUAAUCGAACCAUUUAGUAGCUGGUUCCCUUCGAAGUUUCCCUCAGGAUAGCUGGCCUUUGGAAACGAAUCAGUUUUAUCCGAUAAAGCGACGAUUGGAGGCGUCGGGGUCUACACGACCUUAACCUACUCUCAAACUUUAAAUGGGUGAGAGACUCGGCUCGCAGACGAACGGAGCCGGGU